CGGUACUGAGGAGCUGAGCCGAUAGACUCCCUAUGGAGAAAGAGACGCCGAGUCAUUCAGCAUUUAUCUGAAUUUCAGCCUUUAUUCUGGACCCUGGGAAUAUAGAUGUGAACAAAACAAACAAAAAUCCUGCCUUCAUGGACCUUACAUCCUUGUGAGGGGAGACAGAUGAUGAACAAGUUGCUUGUGAGCCCUAUGGAGAUAGGGUCAGGGGAGACGGAAAGAGACUAUAAGAGGAGAAACCCAACUAAAACAAUAACAGAGAAAUAGAAAAGAUGCAAGCACAAAACAGAAGAGAGAAUAAAUUGGAGGUCAUCAGCAGACGAGUGAUUUCAACAAGUUUCUGGAAAGCACAAAGUACAUGAAAAGGUGUCAAAAGAUGAAAUGGAAGAAGCUAUCAUCUUUAGCAUUUCUAGAGGCGGCUUCAAAGACCAGAAGGAAGAGCUAGACAGCAAAACUAGAGAGGCCAACCUUCGAGACAUCAGUGAAACCUGGAUAACAGGAUGUUGAAUAGGCUUUUCCUGCUACCCCACAAUUUUACCUACAGUCCCAAAGCAGAGGACUCGGAGAUUACCCACAGAGCUUACUAAAAAGUAGACAAACUGUCCUUCAAUGCUUAUCUCCAGCCAGCCAACAGAAGCCAAAAACUGAAGUUUAUUAUGGAGAGAUCUAUAAAGGGAGACAGGAAGUUUGGAGUUCUGGCAGCCAUCCUGGACCAUAACAUGAAGUGCUUAAAGACGGCAGC
This 745-nucleotide long non-coding RNA is filed under the name Equus caballus (horse). RNAcentral describes it as "lncRNA (ENSECAG00000057719.1)". Lineage: Eukaryota; Metazoa; Chordata; Mammalia; Perissodactyla; Equidae. The record is from RNAcentral.